UAAACUUCAUUGGUCAGAGCAACACGCAGUCACAUAAGUUUCUGAAAUGUGUCACUGGUUUUCCUCUGACUAAUUGAAGAUAU
Molecule: non-coding RNA, 83 nt
Organism: Caenorhabditis remanei
Lineage: Eukaryota; Metazoa; Nematoda; Chromadorea; Rhabditida; Rhabditidae
Source: Rfam